Molecule: long non-coding RNA, 153 nt
Organism: Nanorana parkeri
Lineage: Eukaryota; Metazoa; Chordata; Amphibia; Anura; Dicroglossidae
Exons: 3
Source: RefSeq, a predicted model, not a curated record
AAUUGCCAAACCUUCACAUUGCAAGAUGGAUCCAGUAAGAGGAACCCACCAGAGAGAUGUCCCCGCCCUCUGUACUCCCGGGAUUCCACCCAAGAACACCAUAUGCCCCCCCACCAUUAUCAGAGCGAACUUCUUCUCGAUAUCAAAGUAGAA